UCGAACGGUGAAGCCCCGCUUGCGGGGUGGAUCAGUGGCGAACGGGUGAGUAACACGUGAGCAACCUGCCCCUGACUCUGGGAUAAGCGCUGGAAACGGCGUCUAAUACUGGAUACGAGACGUGAUCGCAUGGUCAACGUUUGGAAAGAUUUUUCGGUUGGGGAUGGGCUCGCGGCCUAUCAGCUUGUUGGUGAGGUAAUGGCUCACCAAGGCGUCGACGGGUAGCCGGCCUGAGAGGGUGACCGGCCACACUGGGACUGAGACACGGCCCAGACUCCUACGGGAGGCAGCAGUGGGGAAUAUUGCACAAUGGGCGCAAGCCUGAUGCAGCAACGCCGCGUGAGGGAUGACGGCCUUCGGGUUGUAAACCUCUUUUAGCAGGGAAGAAGCGAGAGUGACGGUACCUGCAGAAAAAGCACCGGCUAACUACGUGCCAGCAGCCGCGGUAAUACGUAGGGUGCAAGCGUUAUCCGGAAUUAUUGGGCGUAAAGAGCUCGUAGGCGGUUUGUCGCGUCUGCUGUGAAAUCUGGGGGCUCAACCCCCAGCCUGCAGUGGGUACGGGCAGACUAGAGUGCGGUAGGGGAGAUUGGAAUUCCUGGUGUAGCGGUGGAAUGCGCAGAUAUCAGGAGGAACACCGAUGGCGAAGGCAGAUCUCUGGGCCGUAACUGACGCUGAGGAGCGAAAGGGUGGGGAGCAAACAGGCUUAGAUACCCUGGUAGUCCACCCCGUAAACGUUGGGAACUAGUUGUGGGGUCCAUUCCACGGAUUCCGUGACGCAGCUAACGCAUUAAGUUCCCCGCCUGGGGAGUACGGCCGCAAGGUA
This 823-nucleotide ribosomal RNA is filed under the name Microbacterium sp. TCA1-4_Pa. RNAcentral's name for it is "bacterial SSU rRNA". It matches the Rfam family "Bacterial small subunit ribosomal RNA", at positions 62 to 895 of the family's 1533-position model. The record is from RNAcentral. Lineage: Bacteria; Bacillati; Actinomycetota; Actinomycetes; Micrococcales; Microbacteriaceae.